UACGAAGGGUGCAAACGUUGCUCGGAAUUACUGGGCGUAAAGGGCGCGUAGGCGGCCUUCUAAGUCAGACGUGAAAUCCCUCGGCUCAACCGAGGAACUGCGUCUGAUACUGGAAGGCUUGAAUCCGGGAGAGGGAUGUGGAAUUCCAGGUGUAGCGGUGAAAUGCGUAGAUAUCUGGAGGAACACCGGUGGCGAAGGCGGCAUCCUGGACCGGUAUUGACGCUGAGGCGCGAAAGCUAGGGGAGCAAACGGG
RNAcentral lists this ribosomal RNA (253 nucleotides) under uncultured bacterium. RNAcentral's name for it is "partial 16S ribosomal RNA". It matches the Rfam family "Bacterial small subunit ribosomal RNA", at positions 524 to 776 of the family's 1533-position model. The record is from RNAcentral.